CCUACGGGUGGCAGCAGUGGGGAAUAUUGGACAAUGGGCGAAAGCCUGAUCCAGCCAUGCCGCGUGUGUGAAGCAGGCCUUCGGGUUGUAAAGCACUUUCAGUGGGGAAGACAGCCUUGGGGCUAAUACCCUCGAGGAAGGACAUCACCCACAGAAGAAGCACCGGCUAACUCCGUGCCAGCAGCCGCGGUAAUACGGAGGGUGCGAGCGUUAAUCGGAAUUACUGGGCGUAAAGCGCGCGUAGGCGGUCUGAUAAGCCGGUUGUGAAAGCCCCGGGCUCAACCUGGGAACGGCAUCCGGAACUGUCAGGCUAGAGUGCAGGAGAGGAAGGUAGAAUUCCCGGUGUAGCGGUGAAAUGCGUAGAGAUCGGGAGGAAUACCAGUGGCGAAGGCGGCCUUCUGGACUGACACUGACGCUGAGGUGCGAAAGCGUGGGUAGCAAACAGGAUUAGAUACCCCAGUAGUC
Molecule: ribosomal RNA, 465 nt
Filed under: Vreelandella stevensii
Lineage: Bacteria; Pseudomonadati; Pseudomonadota; Gammaproteobacteria; Oceanospirillales; Halomonadaceae
Description: partial 16S ribosomal RNA
Rfam family: Bacterial small subunit ribosomal RNA
Source: RNAcentral